RNAcentral lists this ribosomal RNA (169 nucleotides) under uncultured bacterium. Its description in RNAcentral is "partial 16S ribosomal RNA". It matches the Rfam family "Bacterial small subunit ribosomal RNA", at positions 338 to 524 of the family's 1533-position model. The record is from RNAcentral.
CCUACGGGAGGCAGCAGUGGGGAAUCUUGCACAAUGGAGGAAACUCUGAUGCAGCGAUGCCGCGUGAGUGAAGAAGGCCCUUGGGUUGUAAAGCUCUUUCGUCGGGGAAGAAAAUGACUGUACCCGGAUAAGAAGGUCCGGCUAACUUCGUGCCAGCAGCCGCGGUAAU